AAACAUUGUCCAAUAAAAAAAAUAGAAAAGAAACCCAAAAUAUUUAGAAUUAAUAAUAGAAUUCAACAAACGGAGCAAACAGUCUAAACACAGGGAAUAUUGUUUGAGUUUAAAAGUCAUGACGGGGAUUUGAGGAGGAAUGGACAUCCAAAGUUCAGACAGCCGACGGAAAGACAGCCAUCAUUCAGACAGCCGACAGAAAGACAGCCAUCAUUCAGACAGCCGACAGAAAGACAGCAGUCAUUACGGUUGAAAAAAAAUAACUGGACCUGAGCGUGUCCAAAAUGGCACCCUAUAUAGUCUACCACCUAUAGGCCCAAGUCAAGACAAAAGGAGCUCACUAUAUAGGAAAUAGGGUGCCAUUACAGACAGUCAUGUUCUCAGAGCAUGCCUGCCUAACUGUUGUUGGAAACUACUAGUAAUCUAACAGCUUCAAAUGGCAUCUCAAAUACAAACAGUAAUCAUCUCAAAUACAAACAGUAAUCAUCUCAAAUACAAACAGUAAUCAUCUCAAAUACAAACAGUAAUCAUCUCAAAUACAAACAGUAAUCAUCUCAAAUACAAACAGUAAGAAUCUCAAAUACAAACAGUUGGGGAGAGAAGAGUUACUGUAAUCAUCUCAAAUACAAACAGUUGGUGAGAGAAGAGUUACUGUAAUCAUCUCAAAUACAAACAGUUGGUGAGAGAAGAGUUACUGUAAUCAUCUCAAAUACAAACAGUUGGGGAGAGAAGAGUUACUGUAAUCAUCUCAAAUACAAACAGUUGGGGAGAGAUGACCGUAAUGAUCUCAAAGUGACAAGUAGAGGCUACUAAGAAUGCACAUAGAUUUCAUUUCUCUACAUAAACUGCUUCCAACGUCGUUUUAAAGAAUUUGGGAGUACGUCCAACUGGCCUCACAACCUCAGACCACGUGCAUGGCGUUGUGUGCGUAAGCGGUUUUCUGAUGUCAAUGUUGUGAACAGUGUCCCAUGGUGGCGGUGGGCUUAAACUACAUACAACAUUUUAUAUUAUUGAUGGCAAUUUGAAUGCACAGAAAUACCGUAACGAUAUCCCGAGGCGCAUGAAAUACCGUAACGAUAUCCCGAGGCCCAUGAAAUACCCUAACGAUAUCCCGAGGCCCAUGAAAUACCCUAACCCAUAUCCCGAGGCCCAUGAAAUACCGUAACGAUAUCCCGAGGCCCAUGAAAUACCCUAACGAUAUCCCGAGGCCCAUGAAAUACCGUAACGAUAUCCCGAGGCCCAUUUUCUUUUAAAGGUAUCUGUGACCAACAGAUGCAUAUCUGUAUUGUCAGUCAUGUGAAUUUAUUUAAACUGACUGAUUUCCACAUAUGAACUGUAACUCAGUAAAAUCGUUGAAAUUGUUGUUUAUAUUUUUUGUUUAGUAUAUAAAUCAUCUUUAAUUUGUACAGACGCAUACAACUCCCUACAGUGCACUACUUUUGACCAAAGCCACUGGUCAAAAGUAGUGCACCAUAUAGGGAAUAGGGUGCUAUGUCAGACACACAGUAGUUGGUGUGGUUCAUAGAUUAGUAGUGAUUGGUUCCAGUGUUGUCAUGACGAAGAGGGAAACCAUAAUGAUUAUGUGGGAGUCCAACAAACUUGUUUUUGGUAUUUUAUUAGGAUCCCCAUUAGCUGUUGUUAUAGCAGCAGCUACUCUUCCUGGGGUCCACACAAAACAUGACAUAAUACAGAACAUGAAUAGACAAGAACAGCUCAAGGACUGAACUACAUCAAUAUAAAAAAAAGGGUAAAUACAUUAGUACAUUUGUUUAUAUCCCACAUUCCUCCAGCCUUCAUCUCUCUAUAGAGUUCACUAUGACAUGUCACCAUAAGACAGUAUUCUAUCAUAGUAUGGAUAUAAUGAGAGUCCAAACCAGUUUUCUCUUCCUGAAGAAGUGACGAACAGAAUGUGUUCCAAAUGGAGCCAACCCAACCAACCAACCUACCACCCAACACACCAACCCAACCACCCACCCAACCAACCAACCAACCUACCAACACACCAACCCUCCCAC
RNAcentral lists this long non-coding RNA (2015 nucleotides) under Salmo salar (Atlantic salmon). RNAcentral's name for it is "lncRNA (ENSSSAG00000088126.1)". The record is from RNAcentral. Lineage: Eukaryota; Metazoa; Chordata; Actinopteri; Salmoniformes; Salmonidae.